This 519-nucleotide long non-coding RNA is filed under the name Parus major (Great Tit). RNAcentral's name for it is "lncRNA (ENSPMJG00000003180.1)". The record is from RNAcentral. Lineage: Eukaryota; Metazoa; Chordata; Aves; Passeriformes; Paridae.
CAGCAGUGCAAAUUUGCCUGCAAGGUGCUUCACUGGUUAAAAAAACUUAAAAUGGAAUUGGACUCAAGGGAGUCAGGCAUCCAGCUAUCCCCUUAAUUACUAGGACAAAGUUGCAAACAAGAAUUAUGACCAGAAAAAAAAGAUCUUGGUCAUGUUAAAAAAGCACAAUAUUGCAGCUGAGGUCAGAGAAGUCAGAGGCAAACUGAGGGAACCCAACAAGCAGUGAGCUCAGGAGCUGAGUAUUGGACUACAGAGAGAGUAUUCCAGAGCUGGUUGCAGAUGGAGAUAGGAGCAGGUUUGUUUCCAUCGACUGAGGGAUGCUCAGAGCCCAUGGAGGUCAGGUCAGCAGCUCACAGCACCACAUCCCAUCCCAGCUGGCAGAGAAAAUCUGUGUUAUCUAUCUGGAGAAAACUUGUCUACUGCUGGAGAAAUGGAAAACAGGGAUGUUAAAACAGCCAUUACAACUCCAAAAACUCCAAUCCUGGAGCACACAGAGCCUCACAUGGCACUAAAACCUAC